CCUCAAUGUCAUUUAUUUUUUAAUGUAAGAUUUUUUAACUUUUAGAAUAAAAAGAACUGAAGAAAGUACUUCAUGUCCUCAUUUUCCCUCACGCAGAUGACACCUUGUCUCCUUACAAAGUCAGCUUAGAGACUUUGGAGCAGAAGAAGUAAAUUAGAAUGUAUCCCUAGGGAAAACCCUGGUGACAGCUUUCAAGCGUACUUGGCUGGCUGAGGAAACUACUGCUAAAACCCAAGUGUCACCAUACUCCAGCAAACAAGUUUAUACUGGUGAUUAAGAAGACAAUAUAAAAGAAGAGUGAAUAAAACUACUGAAAAUUCCGGAACUGGCAAAGUGGCAAUAAAUAUAUACAUAAAGAGGUAAUUCAAGUAAACACAUUAAGAAAUGUGAAAGAGUUGCGCAAUCAUGAAGGAGCUGUGUUAACUGAUGGGCUUUUUGUUGCAAAGGAAGGACAUCAACACAGCAUUAUAAUAGCAAAGCUAAUAACCUGGGCAGAGAGUACUUUUAUUUGACUCAGAGCAAGAAAAGAAAAAGAAGAAUUAUGUGGGACACGCUAUAAAGAGGCCCAAUAAACAAAUAAUUUCAAUUACCUCA
RNAcentral lists this long non-coding RNA (594 nucleotides) under Numida meleagris (helmeted guineafowl). RNAcentral's name for it is "lncRNA (ENSNMEG00000005760.1)". Lineage: Eukaryota; Metazoa; Chordata; Aves; Galliformes; Numididae. The record is from RNAcentral.